Long non-coding RNA from Arabidopsis lyrata subsp. lyrata, 541 nucleotides. RefSeq lists it as uncharacterized. Lineage: Eukaryota; Viridiplantae; Streptophyta; Magnoliopsida; Brassicales; Brassicaceae. The record is from RefSeq and is a predicted model, not a curated record. The transcript is spliced from 2 exons.
AUAAGGACAUGUUCGUUUCCUUUAUGAAUCUUAAUGCUUAUUUUAUUAAAUAUUUGCCUAGUAAAUGAGAUUGGAAUUCUUAUCCCUUGAUACUUCAAGAAAAUAGAGACAAUGAUAACAUGAUGGAACUAUCAUAUUCGGCUAUCGCAAAGCUUGAUCAAGCAAAACAGAAUGAGAUCCAACCUUCUUCAUAAAAAUUAGAAGGUUAUUUACUUUACUUCGUCUUUGUUACUCUUGAUGGUUUUGGUUUUGGCAAUUUCAGUUCCAAACUAAUUCAGGCUAUCCACAAGCUUUCCUUUCGGCAUCAAGACUUCAAGGACUAUUGUUGCUUUGGAGAAGGCAGUGAAGUGAGAAUUGCUUGGAAUGAGACAACCUAAGUUCUUUGAAAGAGAGAAAGAGCAAGCUAAUGGGAAGGCAACGCACAUAGAGGGGAUGAGAUUGAAGUUGUCUUUAGAAUGUUAGCUUUAUUUUGUUUAAAACUUGGUAUGAUGUUAUGUUAAAAUGGAUAAUGUAAUAAUUAGGGCUGGGCUUUUAAACCGAA